This is a long non-coding RNA of Strongylocentrotus purpuratus (purple sea urchin), 445 nucleotides long. RefSeq lists it as uncharacterized. The transcript is spliced from 3 exons. The record is from RefSeq and is a predicted model, not a curated record. NCBI's taxonomy places the organism in Eukaryota, Metazoa, Echinodermata, Echinoidea, Camarodonta, Strongylocentrotidae.
GAAGGGGAGCAAGGUUAGCAAAGGUGAAGUGCACCUGGCAGCAACUUGGAAGGAUGAAAACAAAGAUGGUCUGGAAUAUGCCGCGGUAAAAUUGCCGACCUUGUUGAAAGAAGACCCGAAAGACAUGUGGACUUUCAAGGAUGAUGAGACCCCAAACCCAAACUCUGUGUUCAUCAAAAUGAACAACAAAGAAGUCUCUGAAUCAACUUGCUUUGAAGUUGUAGCCGAGGAGAUGUCAAUCUGCAAUACAGACCAAAUUCAUACUGCACUUAGCUGCUACAUAGCAACAUUCUACGUCUUCAAUCUGGCCUAUAUACCACGACUUCAAAAGACGAUCUCUUUCAUCCAGAAUUUCCUCCUUGGCAUUAAAGAUGGAACCAGCUUGGAGAAACCAGUGCUUACCCUCGCAUCUAGAUUGGCCAAAAAGUCACAGCAUUAAACACAU